CUUGGUAAGAAUAGCUGCGGGGGUACACCUGGUCCCAUUCCGAACCCAGAAGUUAAGCCCGUAAACGCUGAAAGUACUUGGAGGGAAGCCUCCUGGGAGGAUAGGAACUUGCCAAGU
Molecule: ribosomal RNA, 117 nt
Filed under: Fusobacterium mortiferum
Lineage: Bacteria; Fusobacteriati; Fusobacteriota; Fusobacteriia; Fusobacteriales; Fusobacteriaceae
Source: RNAcentral